RNAcentral lists this ribosomal RNA (463 nucleotides) under Vreelandella stevensii. RNAcentral describes it as "partial 16S ribosomal RNA". It matches the Rfam family "Bacterial small subunit ribosomal RNA", at positions 338 to 795 of the family's 1533-position model. The record is from RNAcentral. Lineage: Bacteria; Pseudomonadati; Pseudomonadota; Gammaproteobacteria; Oceanospirillales; Halomonadaceae.
CCUACGGGGCUGCAGUGGGGAAUAUUGGACAAUGGGCGAAAGCCUGAUCCAGCCAUGCCGCGUGUGUGAAGAAGGCCUUCGGGUUGUAAAGCACUUUCAGUGGGGAAGAAAGCCUUGGGGCUAAUACCCUCGAGGAAGGACAUCACCCACAGAAGAAGCACCGGCUAACUCCGUGCCAGCAGCCGCGGUAAUACGGAGGGUGCGAGCGUUAAUCGGAAUUACUGGGCGUAAAGCGCGCGUAGGCGGUCUGAUAAGCCGGUUGUGAAAGCCCCGGGCUCAACCUGGGAACGGCAUCCGGAACUGUCAGGCUAGAGUGCAGGAGAGGAAGGUAGAAUUCCCGGUGUAGCGGUGAAAUGCGUAGAGAUCGGGAGGAAUACCAGUGGCGAAGGCGGCCUUCUGGACUGACACUGACGCUGAGGUGCGAAAGCGUGGGUAGCAAACAGGAUUAGAUACCCUUGUAGUC